Molecule: ribosomal RNA, 358 nt
Filed under: Inocybe splendens
Lineage: Eukaryota; Fungi; Basidiomycota; Agaricomycetes; Agaricales; Inocybaceae
Description: eukaryotic LSU rRNA
Rfam family: 5.8S ribosomal RNA (bases 49-202)
Source: RNAcentral
ACAGAAUGUCGAAUCAGGUCCUUUUUGUACCUAUAAAGUUAAAUAUACAACUUUCAGCAACGGAUCUCUUGGCUCUCGCAUCGAUGAAGAACGCAGCGAAAUGCGAUAAGUAAUGUGAAUUGCAGAAUUCAGUGAAUCAUCGAAUCUUUGAACGCAUCUUGCGCUCCUUGGUAUUCUGAGGAGCAUGCCUGUUUGAGUGUCAUUUCAAGUUCUCAACCACAUCGAUUUUGAUGUGGCUUGGAUGGUGGGGGUUCUUUUUUGCAGGCUUCUGUAAAUAUGAAGUCGGCUCCCCUGAAAUGUAUUAGUGGUAAUCUGAGCUACUACAGGUGAGAUAAUUAUCUAUGCCUUGGUAUGCUGC